CCUACGGGUGGCAGCAGUGAGGAAUAUUGGUCAAUGGACGAGAGUCUGAACCAGCCAAGUAGCGUGAAGGAUGACUGCCCUAUGGGUUGUAAACUUCUUUUAUAUGGGAAUAAAAUGUUCCACGUGUGGGAUUUUGUAUGUACCAUAUGAAUAAGGAUCGACUAACUCCGUGCCAGCAGCCGCGGUAAUACGGAGGAUCCGAGCGUUAUCCGGAUUUAUUGGGUUUAAAGGGAGCGUAGGUGGAUUGUUAAGUCAGUUGUGAAAGUUUGCGGCUCAACCGUAAAAUUGCAGUUGAAACUGGCAGUCUUGAGUACAGUAGAGGUGGGCGGAAUUCGUGGUGUAGCGGUGAAAUGCUUAGAUAUCACGAAGAACUCCGAGUGCGAAGGCAGUUCACUGGACUGCAACUGACACUGAGGCUCGAAAGUGUGGGUAUCAAACAGGAUUAGAUACCCCUGUAGUC
Molecule: ribosomal RNA, 460 nt
Filed under: uncultured bacterium
Lineage: Bacteria
Description: partial 16S ribosomal RNA
Rfam family: Bacterial small subunit ribosomal RNA
Source: RNAcentral